UACAGAGGUCUCAAGCGUUGUUCGGAUUCACUGGGUUUAAAGGGUGCGUAGGUGGGCAGGUAAGUCAGUGGUGAAAUCUCCGGGCUUAACUCGGAAACUGCCAUUGAUACUAUCUGUCUUGAAUACCGUGGAGGUUAGCGGAAUAUGUCAUGUAGCGGUGAAAUGCUUAGAUAUGACAUAGAACACCAAUUGCGAAGGCAGCUGGCUACACGAAUAUUGACACUGAUGCACGAAAGCGUGGGGAUCAAACAGG
RNAcentral lists this ribosomal RNA (253 nucleotides) under uncultured bacterium. RNAcentral's name for it is "partial 16S ribosomal RNA". It matches the Rfam family "Bacterial small subunit ribosomal RNA", at positions 524 to 776 of the family's 1533-position model. The record is from RNAcentral.